Molecule: long non-coding RNA, 738 nt
Filed under: Daucus carota (carrot)
Lineage: Eukaryota; Viridiplantae; Streptophyta; Magnoliopsida; Apiales; Apiaceae
Description: long non-coding RNA (DCAR_LNC007518)
Source: RNAcentral
UAUAACCCUUGUCCAUAUUUUGUAAAUCAGUUGUGUAUAUAUAUGAAAUUGGGAUGUGUGUUGAUUUGAUUUUAAAAAAUUAGUUUUCUUUAAAUUACUUGAUUAAGAGUAGAUUGGGUUUCAAGAUUCGAGUUAUAUGCUUGCUUCUAUGUAGGUGAAUAGGUGUCAAUUGAUGUUGAUUAUAACCCGUGAUUAUUAAUUGAGUUCGAUUAUAUGUGCUUAAUUGGUAUUUGAAUUGAUUUUGGUAAAAGAAAAUAGAUAAUCGAAAAGAUUAGGAGUGGUAGUGAAAUCUUUUGCUGUGAUACCACUGUUUGAUGUUAAUAGUUACCUGUCCUAGGAGUAUGUUUUUGGAAUGAAAUUUUGUGGAAAGAUACUUCCUGGAAUCUAGUGUCUACUCGCGAAAGAAUUAGAUUGAUUUAUUAAACGAGCUAAAAGAUAUGCAUGAUUUAGUGCGACGUGCGCUGAAAAUUCUGAGCAGGCUUAUGUGUCCUGUUCCACGCCCUAUUUUGCUACCUUAAAAUCGAGCUUUGCCUCUGAAAUUUUUAUUGGAGUUAGAUGUUAGUAUCUGGAACAUGUCAUUAAAAUUUUAUACAAACAGACCAAUUUUUCUAUUUAUUAAAAUUCUUAGCGUGGGGCUGGUUCUGCAGGACAGAUUCAUGUUCUUGGCUUGCAGGCUCUGUUUUACUCCCUUAAACAUAGAAUUUGGUUAUGAAAUUUUUAUAGUAGAUUGGAUUAAUG